UUAAUACAUUCAUUUUUUAGGCUUUGUUUGAGCAAUUAUUCCAAUUUCUAUUUUAUUGUUGCAUUAAAAACGACAAUAGUUGAAACUCGUUUUUUGGUUUCAAAACUCACUCAAGAAAUCCUGAAAAUUAAUGUCGCUUAUUUGACAUUAUUAAAGAAAAAACCGACACCAUUAAAAAAAUGGCAUCGUUUAUUCUUCUAUUGGAGUUGACGGGGUUUAAAAUGAAAUAUGAGGCACGGAGGGUGAGUGUAGAUGGAUUGAUUGAUGAGGAUCUGUUUUUAUUUUUGAAAAAAUAGAGGUUUCAAGUAGUUUAAAUGUUUUAUAUAUAUAAAUUAAAAAUAUAUAUGAAUUUUGGGUCAAAUAAAUCUCCCAGAACAGCUGUUGCGGAUGUUUGUAUUAGAAUCGAGGCCGUUUUUAAAAACAAGACCGAUCAACUUCAUACAACCAGUUAUACAGGAAACACAACAUCCUCCAUUUGGCUUUUCAAAGGGGUUUGGCUUUAGCCCAGGAGUCUUCUAAGGGUCGAAUUCACUUGUACCGAACCGCUUUGAUAGAUAAAACGUGACGCCGGUUAGGAUCAACAAGGAGGAGGAUCGGAAGUAAACAAAGCAAGUUAAUGGCCACUUAAAAAUCCACUGCCUCGGUAGGCAGACCGCUUUUGUGUUCCGUACGGUCAACCACUGUUCUAUUUUCCCUAUUUUCCCCCUCUAAUCUAUGAAAAGGAAUAAAGAACCACUUUAAA
Cimex lectularius (bed bug) is the source of this 742-nucleotide long non-coding RNA. RefSeq lists it as uncharacterized. The record is from RefSeq and is a predicted model, not a curated record. The transcript has 3 exons. Lineage: Eukaryota; Metazoa; Arthropoda; Insecta; Hemiptera; Cimicidae.